Long non-coding RNA from Xiphophorus couchianus (Monterrey platyfish), 763 nucleotides. RefSeq lists it as uncharacterized. The record is from RefSeq and is a predicted model, not a curated record. The transcript is spliced from 3 exons. Lineage: Eukaryota; Metazoa; Chordata; Actinopteri; Cyprinodontiformes; Poeciliidae.
UUUCUGCUGACUUCCACAUUGGUGACCUCGAACAUUUGAACAUGUUUUUUAACGAGAAAUCACCAGAUGCUGCUGCUGGUUCUCCGCCAGCUGUGGUUUCGGACCCAGUUUCUUGCCAGGCUGCCGUUACUCCAACCGCCGCUUCUGUUUUUGCUGCCAUCAUCAAGUUUCCAGACUUCUGGCAGCAUGAUCCAGAACCAUGGUUCCAGCAUGUGGAAGCCCAGUUCCAUCUCCAUGGGAUAACCACAGAUGAGACCAAGUACUUCCAUGUAGUUGCUGUGUUGGAUUCCGUUUGUGUUGGAUGCUGUGGCUGCGGUGGCGGAGCGACGGAAGGACGAUGUUCUCUGCUUCUACCAUCGCCGGUUCAGAGUGAAGGGGAUAGCUGCAUUCCUCCUUGUUCGUUCAUGUGUCAAGGAAACGACAAAGUCGGUGCUCUCUAACAGCUGUGUGUGCCGGCAGUUCGAACAAGCUGCUUUUCAUCAUGGAUGAAAGACCUCUUUCUGGACAGCGUUUCCUGGUGGACUUGGGUGCAUAGCGGACCAUCGUGCCAGUUUCGGCAGCAGACGUUUUGUGCAAGAUUAAUGGACCACUGGUGGACGCCGCUAAUGGCACCCCGAUUCGCACUUUUGGAUCGAGUUGCACAGAGGAUCACACCUGUCGACAACAAACAAAGGUUUAAGAACUUCUGAAUUUUCGGUCAGAAAUGAUCACUCCGCCUGGUUGAAGUACCUGUCUCCAUGUAUGCAUGUGUCAGAGAGGAAAC